RNAcentral lists this ribosomal RNA (432 nucleotides) under uncultured bacterium. Its description in RNAcentral is "partial 16S ribosomal RNA". It matches the Rfam family "Bacterial small subunit ribosomal RNA", at positions 29 to 506 of the family's 1533-position model. The record is from RNAcentral.
AACGAACGCUGGCGGCAUGCCUAACACAUGCAAGUCGAACGAGACCUUCGGGUCUAGUGGCGCACGGGUGCGUAACGCGUGGGAACCUGCCCUUAGGUUCGGAAUAACUCCCCGAAAGGGGUGCUAAUACCGGAUAAUGUCUUCGGACCCAAGAUUUAUCGCCUUUGGAUGGGCCCGCGUUGGAUUAGCUAGUUGGUAGGGUAAAAGCCUACCAAGGCGACGAUCCAUAGCUGGUCUGAGAGGAUGAUCAGCCACACUGGGACUGAGACACGGCCCAGACUCCUACGGGAGGCAGCAGUAGGGAAUAUUGGACAAUGGGCGAAAGCCUGAUCCAGCAAUGCCGCGUGAGUGAUGAAGGCCUUAGGGUUGUAAAGCUCUUUUACCCGGGAUGAUAAUGACAGUACCGGGAGAAUAAGCUCCGGCUAACUCCGU